This 1041-nucleotide long non-coding RNA is filed under the name Papio anubis (olive baboon). Its description in RNAcentral is "lncRNA (ENSPANG00000042099.1)". The record is from RNAcentral. Lineage: Eukaryota; Metazoa; Chordata; Mammalia; Primates; Cercopithecidae.
AUGCAGAUUGCUAAACCCAUCUCACAGGGCUGUCUUCUGCAUUUAAAGAAUAAAAUAACACAUGAGGGGUCUAGGCGUCUAUCAAUGUUUCUGACCCACUUAUUUUUUAUUAAUCCUUUCCCUACACCUAAUACUCUAACUAACCUUUUGGAUUCUCACUUAAUGAGAAAAAGCAAAAUUAAUUUGAGCAGCUUUGCUAUGAACAUUUGCAAGUGGUUUCAGUUUGGGAAUUCGCCUUCAUGGAGAAGAGUGGGUGGAUCUACAAGGCACACACCAUUUCUUUUCUUUUUUGAGACGGAGCGAGACUCCGUCGCCCAGACUGGAGUGCAGUGGCACAAUCUCGGCUCACUGCAAACUCUGCCUCCCAGGUUCAAAUGAUUCUCCUGCCUCAGCCUCCCGAGUAGCUGGGAUUACAGGUGACCACCACAUGCCUGGCUAAUUUUUGUAUUUUUAGUAGAGAUGGGGUUUCACCAUGUUGGCCAGGCUGGUCUCAAACUCUUGACCUCAGGUGAUCUGCCUGCCUUGGCCUCCCAAAGUGCUGGGAUUAUAGACGUGAGCCAUCACACCUGGUCUAUUUUAUUCUCCAGUUUUAUUGAGGCUAUUUUUUCUCCAGCUAUUAUUGACAAAUAUAAAUUGUAUAUAUAUAAGGUGUAAAACCUAAUUUCUUGGGACAGGGUCUUCCUAUCACCCAGCUGAGUGCAGUGUAAUGAUCAUAGCUCCUCACUGUGACCUCGACUUCCUGGCCUCAAGCAAUCCUCCUGCCUCAGCCUCCCAAAGUGCUUAGAUUACAGGCAUGAGUCACCAUGGCUGGCCUUGAUGUUUUGAUAUAUGCACACAUUGUUAAAUGAUUACCAGAACCAAGUUAGUUAACAUAUACAUCACCUCACAUAGUUACCAUUUCCUUUUUUGAGAUGAAAUAAAAUCAACCUUUUUUUUUUUUUUUUUCCAUUUGGAUUUAUUGUACUUCUGGUUGUUAUCUGCAAGGCUUUUUGCCAGAAGGAAAUAUGGAGAAUGUGAAGUGUGAAAAGCAGGCUUCCCGCU